AAGAGACAGCAGCAGCCGCGGUAAUACGGAGGGAGCUAGCGUUGUUCGGAAUUACUGGGCGUAAAGCGCACGUAGGCGGCUUUGUAAGUUAGAGGUGAAAGCCUGGAGCUCAACUCCAGAAUUGCCUUUAAGACUGCAUCGCUUGAAUCCAGGAGAGGUGAGUGGAAUUCCGAGUGUAGAGGUGAAAUUCGUAGAUAUUCGGAAGAACACCAGUGGCGAAGGCGGCUCACUGGACUGGUAUUGACGCUGAGGUGCGAAAGCGUGGGGAGCAAACAGGAUUAGAUACCCCCGUAGUCCCUGUCUCUUAUAC
RNAcentral lists this ribosomal RNA (310 nucleotides) under uncultured bacterium. RNAcentral describes it as "partial 16S ribosomal RNA". It matches the Rfam family "Bacterial small subunit ribosomal RNA", at positions 503 to 807 of the family's 1533-position model. The record is from RNAcentral.